GAUGAACGCUGGCGGCGUGCUUAACACMWKGCAAGKUCGAGGRARSCAYUAAAAGCGGAUUUCUUCGGAUUGAAGGUUUAGUKRAYKGAGCGGCGGACGGGUGAGWAACGCGUGGGUAAACCUGCCUCAUACAGGGGGAUAACAGUUGGRAAACGGCUGCUAAUACCGCAUAAGCGCACAGUACCGCAUGGUACGGUGUGAAAAACUCCGGUGGUAUGAGAUGGACCCGCGUCUGAUUAGGUAGUUGGUGGGGUAACGGCCUACCAAGCCGACGAUCAGUAGCCGACCUGAGAGGGUGACCGGCCACAUUGGGACUGAGACACGGCCCAAACUCCUACGGGAGGCAGCAGUGGGGAAUAUUGCACAAUGGGGGAAACCCUGAUGCAGCGACGCCGCGUGAGCGAAGAAGUAUUUCGGUAUGUAAAGCUCUAUCAGCAGGG
Molecule: ribosomal RNA, 440 nt
Filed under: uncultured bacterium
Lineage: Bacteria
Description: partial 16S ribosomal RNA
Rfam family: Bacterial small subunit ribosomal RNA
Source: RNAcentral